AGUGAACGCUGGCGGCAGGCCUAAUACAUGCAAGUCGAACGGCAGCACAGCAGAGCUUGCUCUGUGGGUGGCGAGUGGCGGACGGGUGAGGAAUACAUGGGAAUCUGCCCAGUCGUGGGGAUAACGUAGGGAAACUUACGCUAAUACCGCAUGCGCCCUUCGGGGAAAGCCGGGGACCGUAAGGCCUGGCGCGAUUGGAUGAGCCCAUGUCGGAUUAGCUAGUUGGCGGGGUAAAGGCCCACCAAGGCGACGAUCCGUAGCUGGUCUGAGAGGAUGAUCAGCCACACUGGAACUGAGACACGGUCCAGACUCCUACGGGAGGCAGCAGUAGGGAAUAUUGGACAAUGGGCGCAAGCCUGAUCCAGCCAUGCCGCGUGAGUGAAGAAGGCCCUCGGGUUGUAAAGCUCUUUGUCCGGAAAGAAAGCGCCGGGUUAAUACCCUGGUGUCCUGACGGUACCGGAAGAAUAAGCACCGGCUAACUUCGUGCCAGCAGCCGC
This 497-nucleotide ribosomal RNA is filed under the name uncultured bacterium. RNAcentral's name for it is "bacterial SSU rRNA". It matches the Rfam family "Bacterial small subunit ribosomal RNA", at positions 29 to 518 of the family's 1533-position model. The record is from RNAcentral.